UUGGGCGUAAGGGCUCGCAGGCGGUUUCUUAAGUCUGAUGUGAAAGCCCCCGGCUCAACCGGGGAGGGUCAUUGGAAACUGGGGAACUUGAGUGCAGAAGAGGAGAGUGGAAUUCCACGUGUAGCGGUGAAAUGCGUAGAGAUGUGGAGGAACACCAGUGGCGAAGGCGACUCUCUGGUCUGUAACUGACGCUGAGGAGCGAAAGCGUGGGGAGCGAACAGGAUUAGAUACCCUGGUAGUCCACGCCGUAAACGAUGAGUGCUAAGUGUUAGGGGGUUUCCGCCCCUUAGUGCUGCAGCUAACGCAUUAAGCACUCCGCCUGGGGAGUACGGUCGCAAGACUGAAACUCAAAGGAAUUGACGGGGGCCCGCACAAGCGGUGGAGCAUGUGGUUUAAUUCGAAGCAACGCGAAGAACCUUACCAGGUCUUGACAUCCUCUGACAAUCCUAGAGAUAGGACGUCCCCUUCGGGGGCAGAGUGACAGGUGGUGCAUGGUUGUCGUCAGCUCGUGUCGUGAGAUGUUGGGUUAAGUCCCGCAACGAGCGCAACCCUUGAUCUUAGUUGCCAGCAUUCAGUUGGGCACUCUAAGGUGACUGCCGGUGACAAACCGGAGGAAGGUGGGGAUGACGUCAAAUCAUCAUGCCCCUUAUGACCUGGGCUACACACGUGCUACAAUGGACAGAACAAAGGGCAGCGAAACCGCGAGGUUAAGCCAAUCCCACAAAUCUGUUCUCAGUUCGGAUCGCAGUCUGCAACUCGACUGCGUGAAGCUGGAAUCGCUAGUAAUCGCGGAU
This 794-nucleotide ribosomal RNA is filed under the name Bacillus subtilis. Its description in RNAcentral is "bacterial SSU rRNA". It matches the Rfam family "Bacterial small subunit ribosomal RNA", at positions 554 to 1349 of the family's 1533-position model. Lineage: Bacteria; Bacillati; Bacillota; Bacilli; Caryophanales; Bacillaceae. The record is from RNAcentral.